Molecule: small RNA, 150 nt
Filed under: Caldicellulosiruptor owensensis
Lineage: Bacteria; Bacillati; Bacillota; Caldicellulosiruptorales; Caldicellulosiruptoraceae
Also listed under: 1 other name
Description: c-di-AMP sequence
Rfam family: c-di-AMP riboswitch aptamer (ydaO/yuaA leader)
About the family: This family represents a conserved RNA structure found upstream of the ydaO and yuaA genes in Bacillus subtilis and related genes in other bacteria. The ydaO/yuaA element is thought to act as a genetic "off" switch for the ydaO and yuaA genes in its native state.
Source: RNAcentral
CCUUUUGAAAAGCUGAAUUCCCAGGUUAAAAACCUGGGAUACGGGGGACCCAACCUUUUUGGGGUGAAUCAGAAGCAAAAGCUUCUGUAGGGCUAACCCUUUCGGCCCGAACCCGUCAGCUAACCUCGGAAGCUUUGAAAGGGAGGCAAA